Molecule: long non-coding RNA, 5852 nt
Filed under: Capsicum annuum
Lineage: Eukaryota; Viridiplantae; Streptophyta; Magnoliopsida; Solanales; Solanaceae
Description: long non-coding RNA (CANN_LNC019258)
Source: RNAcentral
ACAAAACAUAAGGAACCGACUCGGAAAGCUCCGAAGCAAACUGGAGCUCACCAACAAUAGCUGUAUGACCUGGCUCCUACUUGUGCGGUGUAUGAGUUGAGGUACCUGUGCCUGCAGCAUGAAAUGCAGGUCCCCCGUGAGGGACGUCAGUACGAAAUAUGUACUGAGUAUGUAAAGCUGUAAAUAAUCACAUAUGAUAUAGGAGCUCAAUAGAAAUCAGAAACAAGUGAAUAAGUCGUAAUAGGAGUGGACCACACUUACUAGAACUUGUGACAACCUGUACAUUGUAUUUAUUCAAUCACUUUACCUUCGUUCUUAUCGUCUUUGUAAUCAUUACUGUACUGUACUGUGACCAUUAGGAUGCCUCCAGUACAUAUCAACUGGGAUCGACCCAUGCUAGGCUUAUGCCCCUGGGAUACCACCCAUAAACACAUGAAAUAGGGAUCGACCCAUGCUAGGCUUAUGCCCCUGGGAUACCACCCGAUAAGAGAGAACUUUCAUCACUUAGUUCAAUUAAUCUUUGAGAUUGUUAUUUCGGUCGUCACCACAUUUUUGAUACCUUGAAACAAUGAUACAUCAAUAGGAACCAAGUAAUAGACCUUCUAUACAAUAACGAUGUAAUAAGGACUCAUUGGUACAUCAACAAUAUGUUUCAGAAUCAUCAAUAUCACAACAAUGAAAUAAGAGCCUUUUGGUAUAUCAAUGAACAUUUUGACACUUUAUAGGAUGGAAACAACUUCGUUGGUAACGUAGAACAAUACAUGUUUUUGGACAACCUCGGAAUCUUACUUGAUGGAACAUUGGUGUUUUCAUGCCAAAGAACAUUGUUAGAGUAUGCUUUACAUACCUCGUUGUAGAUUCAGAUACCAAUUCAACACAACUUCCCGCCUUUACAAAUCACUUAUCUACAAUGAAAUGUUUGGCAUCUAGUAUUAGCAACCCAACACCACAAUUCUCUUCCAUAAUUCCAUACUACCAAUAUUUGCAAAACAUUCCAAAAACCAACUUGAACAAUAGGUUUAUGUGUGUAUAUGUAUAUAAUCAUCAUCUCAAUACCACAUCAUCAAUACCACAUCAUCACCCCAAAUUCCUUCACAAUUUAACAUAAUCCAACCAUGCACAAGAAUAAUCCAACAUCAUUUCCAAUCAUCUUUCAACAACAAUCAAAUAACAUACUUCUUAUGCUCACAUGCAUAUAUAUAUAUAUAUACAUAUCCAUAUAAAUAACACCAACAUAAUUUACAUCCUUACCAAAAAAAAUGGCCCUUUUGAUUUCGAAGUCCUGUUGGCACAAAUAAGGGGUGCUUCUCGAAGCCCUUGAGACGGUGAACACAACUACGGAAUCAAUUUGGAUUUUCUACGGUUGAAUCACAAGAUAAUUGGAGUUGAACUUAGGCUAGGGUUUCUUAUUCUUCAAUGAUUUGGAUGAUAAAUGGUGGAUAUAAGGCUAAGUAUAUGUAUAUAAUGACCAAUUUUCGUCCAUGAGGUGAUGGAAAAUGACCAUAUUGCCCUUAAAAAUUUAAGUAAAUCCGAAUCUGUCCAUGGUGGACUGUUUUGAUAGGCUAAAGUAAAUCGGCCAUAACUCUUUGCUCCGAUAUCGGAUUUGGGUGAAAUUGGUAUCGUUAGAAAGAUAAUUCAAAGGUCUUUCAUUUAAUAUAAAUUAAUCCACCCAGUUCGUCCUGUACAAGUAGUUAUGAUCGUUUGAAGUUGACCCUAAAAAUCUGUUUUGAGAGGCUGAAGUAAAACGAGUAUAACUCCUUACUCAGAUGUUGGAUUUGGAUGAAACCAAUUUCAUUGGAAAGAAGACUCAAAGAUCUUUCUUUUGAUAUAUGGUAGCUCAACCAGUUCAUUAUAUUGAGGGAGUUAUGAUCGUUCAAAGUUGACCCAAAAAACUGGCAGGCCUCAGUAGUUUCCUGCACAUUUUACUGUUCACAUCCCGGCCACCGUUUUAAAGUUUCGAACGAGCUCGCUUAUAUCCGAAACUUAUCCGUUUUUGGAAAUCUUUAUAUCGUUGGAAAGCUUAUUCAAUAACCUUCGUAUGGAACCAUCGACGGGAAAAUUCCGAUAUAAAUAAAGUCGAUUCCUAUACACCUAUAAUCAAACUAUACACUUGAAACCAUCUCAAAAUAAUCAAUACUCAUACUUAAACUCAUAUAUACCUAACUUAGGAUCAAUACAUAUACCCCAACACAUAUAACAAUGACUAAUGCACGUAAUUAAGUACGGGGUGUUACAGUAGGUAACUCAGUUAUUGCUAAGAAAGUCUAUAGGGGGUUUGUGGUAUCUGUUGGUGGCAAGCAAACCUUGGUGGAUCUAUUUAAGUUGGAUAUAGUGGAUUUUUAUGUCAUUCUGGGUAUGGGUUGGCUGCACUCUUUUUACACAUCCUUGGAUUGUUAGACCCAUAAAGUUAUCUUUAGGUUCCCUGGUGAACCGGUUAUAGAGUGGGAGGUUAUUUCUUUAUCUCCCAGGGGGAGUUUUAUUUGUUAUCUAAGAGCUCGGAGGUUAAUCUCUAAAGGUUGUUUUUAUGACAUAGUCUGGGUUAAGGAUUCUAACUCGAAAGGUCCUUCUGUCCAGUUAUUUCCAGCUAUUAAUGAGUUUCUAGAGGUAUUUUUGGAUGAUCUUCUUGGUGUUUCUUCAAAUAAGGAAAUAGAGUUUGGUAUUGAUUUAAUUUUGGAUACUCGUCUAAUUUCUAUUCCUCUAUAUAGAAUGGCUCUGGAUGAGUUAAGGUAACUCAAGGAGCAACUUAAGGAUUUUAUGGAUAAGGGGUUUAUUCAUCCUAGUGUAUCUCCUUGGGGUGCACCGGUGUUUGUGUACAAGAAAGAUGGUUCCCUUCAGCUGUGCAUUGACUUUAGGUAGUUGAACAAGGUGACGGUCAAGAACAAGUAUCCUGUUUAAGGAUAUAUGAUCUAUUUUACCAGUUGUAAUGUGCCAAGUUCUUUUCCAUGAUACAUCUUCGAUCAGGGUACCAUCAUGUAAUACCCCGUAUUUUUGUAUUGGAAUUCUAACCAUCGUUCCUAAGCGUCUAAGCUCUAAUCCAAGUGAUUCUCACAUGAAUACAAGUUGCAUGAUCAUUAUCUUAGUCUAUGGAGUAGUUUAGAGGUGAAAAAUAUUCAUAGCAAUGACCUAGAACAAAGCUGAGCUAAGACCAAUUGAUUCAUCCAAAGUUUGACAUUCAAUUCUACAAGGGUCAACUUCAAACUUGAAUAUCUCUUAAUAUACAUGGAAUUUAUCAUCCCAAGACCUAUCAAGUUGUAGAUAAUUGAAUUAGCUUUCCAAUGAUACUAAUUUCAUCAAAAUUUGACACCCGAGCAAGGAGUUAUGGCUUUGCAAAGCAGAGUGCGUUGCCUAACCAAUCGCACGUGGCUACUGGAAUAGGUGUGCGAUAAACAAUGUGGCGCAUACUUAAAUGUGUGCGAUAAUCAAUGCGGUGCAUACUUAAAUAUGUGCGAUAAUCAAUGCGGUGCAUAUUUAAAUGUGUGCGAUAAAUAAUGUAGCGCAUACUUAAAUGUGUGCGAUAAGCAAUGCGCCGCAUACCUCACUUCCAAGUGCCAAAAACACCCCUAUAUAUGUCUAUAACACGGGAUUAAAAUCUCAUAACACCAAAAUAAGUUUACUUUCUCUCAAAAUCACCAAGAACAUUCAUUAGGGUUUCAACCUAAAAAUUCAAAUAUUUCAAGAUUCAACCAUGAGUUUUCAAUAAGUCUUUGAGAUUCGGAAUCCCCAUUCCGAGGGAUACAAGAAACACUCAUUAUUUUCACGAAUAGAGUCCCAAGGUCAAGAUUUCAUUCAAAGCUUUAAUUGUAAGGUAUGUGGGGUUUUUCAACAAGAACAUUCUUUCGUUCUUGUGCCCAAAAUUUGUAUUAUUUUACAAAGAUAUAGAUUUUACAUGCUUUGAUAUGAAUUUGAGAUAGAAACUAUUAUCCUACGUUCUUGUUCAAAAUACUAUUAUAUUUUUAUGAUGUCUUGAAGAUAAAUUCCUUGAGUUUUGAUAUUAAUAUCAUGUUUGAAGUUGAAUCUCCAGAUUUUCAUAUGAAUUAUACAUGUUUGCUACAUAAAGUGUGAAUCUUGAAAUAUUUUGCUCAAGUAUUGAUAUAUGGGUUUUGAACCCUAUUUGAGAAUUAUAAUUUUUGUGAAAGUAAAGUGUUAUGCACACCUUGAGAUUUGAAUGAUUUGACCUUUUGGUCUUGAAAGAGUUAUUUUUGAACUCGAAUGAGAAAAGAAAUCCACAUUUUGAUUUAUUACGAAAAAGGGGUAGCAUGAUGGCUCCCGUUGUGAAUUGCUGAAUUAUUUUAUGGUGGAUUUUCUUUGAAAAUAUCUGAGCUAAGUCCGGGAGCAGUCUUUAGCACCGAGUGGGAGGUAUAGCUGUGUUGGUACUUCCCUAUAACUACGUGCCCCCGUAGGAUCCGAAAUUGAGGCUGAUUAUAUAUAGUGAUCACUAGUUUUUGGAUUUGAUACUUAUAGUCCUACUCUGAUGGCAAGGAUAGGACAGCUCUCCCCAAUGUGGGUUGUACGUUAGACUCCAUGUCGCUCACAUGGUUUAUGUCGGUUAUGAGAUCACCCAAUGUGUGUGUGUAUUCUCCUUUCUAAUAUGAAAAGUGUUAUUCUUCUAUCUGAGAAGAAAAUAUAUUUGUUUGAAAGAAUGAAUUUGAGAAAGUCAUUGUUUUCGAAAGAUUUAAUGAACAUAUAUUCCAAAGAGAAUUGUUAUGAUAUUUGAUUGCUUUAAUAAUUUAGAAUCGAGAUAGAAGUGAAUUGAGAUUUAUUAUGAUAACUCACAUAUUUCACCCGAUAUAUUUUAAUCUCUUAUGAUUAUGAUGAUUUUAAUUCGAGCUAAGUGAAUCGUUUAUAUUAGCAUGCAUAAUUUUAUAAACUGUGAUGAUAUUACGACAUUAUUUUAUAUAUGCAUUACACCCCCAUAUGCUCGGUACAUUUCCAUGGUACCGACCUAUAUAUUUGUAUAUGGGCUAUAUUUUCUUGGAAUGUAGGUACAAGGUAUAGUGUAUAUCUUCAGAUCCAGUCAGUUCACGACAUCCAGUCAGCAGGUGAUGAGUUCUUUUGAUUUAAGGGCUUGAGUUAGUUAUAUAGUUCGAGAAGUGUUGUAUUUUCUUUAUUCAAUCAUAUUGAGUUGGGUUAGUUGGGAGUCAUGACCCAGCUACCUACAGUCAGUACUAGUAGAGGCUUCAUAGACAGUCAAUAGAAGUUAAUGUAUUCCAUUUCAAUUUUGGUUGUAAAAGCAGAGUUGUAAUCUUGUAAAUUUAGUUUUGUAUCUAUAAUAUUCAGAAAAGAGUUAUUUUCUGCAGAUUUGUAUAGAUUUAUACUUUUUUUCAAUUGCUUAUGAGUUAUGCCAGUAGAAGGGUUAGCUUGGGUUCACUUGUGAUCCUAAGCACCGUGUGAAGUCUCAGGAUCCAAUUUUGGGGUGUUACAAACUUGGUAUCAGAGCACAGAGUUCAAGUGUCCUAGGGUGUCUAUGAACCGUGUCUAUUAGAGUCUUGCGGAAUGGUACGGAGAUGUCUAUACUUUUCUUCGAGAGGCUACAGGGCAUUUAGAAAAUGUCUCCAUUCUUUCAAGUCUUAAAUCGUGCUAUUGAAAAGUUCUCCAAGAAAUUUAUAUAGAUUCUCAUCUUACUCUCUAUUCCUAUGGAAUGGGGCAUAAGUCGCACCCUCUAAUCCAUAGUAAUAGAGCAUGUGAUGCAUGCUAAUCGCAUGGUGCGCAUGGUACCUCUAGAGGUUGUCCUCUAAAUUUCGGCUAAGUAUUGGUCCUUUCUCCUUUCAUACCUUGUCUUGUGGUGUCUUUCCAAUGAUUUUCAAGCAUAUAUAUCAUCCAUAUAUCAUCAUAUUAAGCUCACAAAGGAUCCU